UACAGAGGGUGCGAGCGUUAAUCGGAAUUACUGGGCGUAAAGCGCGCGUAGGCGGAUAAAUAAGUUGGGUGUGAAAUCCCUGGGCUUAACCUAGGAAUUGCAUUCAAAACUGUUUGUCUAGAGUAUGGUAGAGGAGGGUAGAAUUUCCGGUGUAGCGGUGAAAUGCGUAGAUAUCGGAAGGAAUACCAGUGGCGAAGGCGGCCCUCUGGACCAUUACUGACGCUCAAGUGCGAAAGCGUGGGGAGCAAACGGG
RNAcentral lists this ribosomal RNA (253 nucleotides) under uncultured bacterium. RNAcentral describes it as "partial 16S ribosomal RNA". It matches the Rfam family "Bacterial small subunit ribosomal RNA", at positions 524 to 776 of the family's 1533-position model. The record is from RNAcentral.